Malaclemys terrapin pileata is the source of this 600-nucleotide long non-coding RNA. RefSeq lists it as uncharacterized. The transcript is spliced from 3 exons. The record is from RefSeq and is a predicted model, not a curated record. NCBI's taxonomy places the organism in Eukaryota, Metazoa, Chordata, Testudines, Emydidae.
AGUACAAAGCAGUUGAGGGUAUCAGCAUCUCAUAAGCUCUGCACCUUCUAUGAUGAUUCAGGUCUCAACUUGGUCUGCUUUUUAGCAAGGACAAUUUUUCCACACACAGCCUAGAUCGGCACAUGUCGACAGGAGCAGAUCCACCCGGGACUCCACUUCAAAACGUGACUCCCCCUUGAGGAGACAGUCGUCCAGGUUGAACCGCAGGAAGCGAUUUGGCCUUGUCCUUAGCCGGAGGGAUGUAGAGGCCCAAGGUCUGCAAAGUGGUGCGGGAAUCCUUCAUCACAUGCAGCCUGAUGUCUGUCUGGUCCGCAAAGAGUGCCUUGCCAUUGAACAGGAGGUCCUGCAUCAGAGAUUGGGCCUCCGUCAACAGCCCGGACAACAGGAGCCACGACACCCUGCACAUGGCGAUCGCGGAAGCCAUCGAGCGGGCCGCCGUGUCAGCAGCAUCAGACACUGCUUGCAGGGCCACUUUAGCCGCCGCCAACCCCUCUUCCACCAGAACCUUGAAGUCCUUCCUGUCCCGGUCCAGGAGGAGGGGCUCAAAUUUAGGCAGAGACUCCCACAGGUUGAAGUUGUACCUGCUCAGUAAGGCCUCGU